CUGAUGGCCAAACGGAUGCCAAAACUUCCCUCACAUGUGCACGCAUGUGGUGAUCAGCACUCGCGUGAAGAGGUGCGAGGAUAGCAUCCUUCCACGAGAAUUUUAUCACUAUUUUAAGUUUUUUAGAAUUAAAAAUGAGUCUCCUAUCUAUGUGGAUUUUUUUAAUUUGAGAAGGGAUGUGAAAACAUCCCUUCUUUGAUCGCACAUGCAGGUGAAGGUGGAGAUCGACGUAUCAUUGAUAAAAGUCCUUCUGCUUGAAGGAACUCUUAUCUCUGAUAAUCUGAUCAAAUAAGUCUCUUGGAUAAGGCGUGUCCCUCCCUUUUGGUAUCCCUCUUGUGGCUAUAAAAUGGUCAGGGUGCUGGGUGUCUGAUGUAUUCAGAUCGAGUUUUCAAUUUUCUUUCAAUUGCUCUCCUUUCUUUCUUACAACCUAUCUUACUUUUAGGACAAGGCUUUGGAAUUUAAGACAAAGCCUUAUCUAGUCCUAAUAAGGGUUGUGAGGGUCCUAAAGAAAGAGAAUCUAAAGCUUAGAGGAGGUUCUGAGAGGGUGGAGUCAGGUUCUUGAAGAAAUUUGACUGGUAUGAGGCUAGUCGAGUUCUAAGGGCUAGAACUCAUGAAGCAAGA
RNAcentral lists this long non-coding RNA (621 nucleotides) under Elaeis guineensis (African oil palm). Its description in RNAcentral is "long non-coding RNA (EGUI_LNC008928)". Lineage: Eukaryota; Viridiplantae; Streptophyta; Magnoliopsida; Arecales; Arecaceae. The record is from RNAcentral.